Non-coding RNA from Podarcis lilfordi (Lilford's wall lizard), 6155 nucleotides. NCBI's taxonomy places the organism in Eukaryota, Metazoa, Chordata, Lepidosauria, Squamata, Lacertidae. The record is from the annotation of a GenBank genome assembly.
CCAUCCAUGAUCCUGGCCAAUGGGAAGCUGCACACGCCUCCUCCACGCCAGAAGGAGCUCCAGAAAAAGCGUUUGUGCAUGUGUGUGCGCGCACACUCAGGCCCACCGUGGCAUCUGCAGGACUGUGAACUGGCCCAGGCCACAAAAACUUUGCCGACCCCUGGGCUAGAUGCUGAAGAGGCAACAGGCUUUAGCGAGCAGGAGGAGCCAAGGACAGAAAGCAGACCAGACUCAGCAGAUGAAGUGUCUCAGUUGCUUGCUGCUCCUACUGUCAUAAGUUUCUCUCCUGCAUUGUCCCCAAAGCCAUGGAGGGCUAUGCGUGUAGCAGAGCAACAGGCACAGAUCCAACCCAGUCCCCCUGCCCUGGUGUAAUUUAAGGCUGCUUGGGAAACAUACAGCUUGGGAGGAGAUUUAGGGGGAAGUAGAAGAAAAAGACCUUCAUUUCUGGCAACCAUUUCGUAGUGGCCACUCUUGUCUGUAGGCAUUGCUGCCUGGUAUACUGCUUUCUUAAAGAAAGAGCUAACUUUUCUGACCUGACACCAUCAUUGCCUUUUGGCUUGUUGUAUGUCCAGUUUUUCCUGUAUAAUUUAAAGGUAACUUCUGCAUAUGUACCUGGGAUUAAAUCCAAUAAAGCCCAUCUGAUGUGUACAUGAUAGUGCUGUUAAACUUGAGACAUAUGCAGACCUACUUGUGUCUCUGCCUGCCCUCUUUCUUACACACACACACACACACACACACACACACACACACACACCCCUUUCUGUCUCUCUCACGUACAAAUACAUAAUACCUGGUACCUUUUCAAUGCAAAGCAGGUGAGCUACUACUUACCUACGUCCCUUCCCCAAUAUAAUGCAGGAGAUAAGUUAGGAAUAGUUUGCAUUCAGAAAUAAAAUAAAAAUCAUUAGAAGUCACAAUGGUGGUGGUGGGAAUCAGGACCACAUCCCUUGUGUCUGUUUCCAGACUGGAAUAAUCUCCCCAGAGCUGGUAUUUUCUCCACAGGAACACGCUACUGCUAUCACACAGCAACUUAAAAUAGCUGCUUGAAGGAGAGUGUCCUGUUGGGAUCCUCACACAACUCAGGAGAUCUUAUUUAUGGGUCUUCCAUGUCAUGUCUAGUUUGGCUCUCAUGGUAAAAGUCUAUGUCUCCUGGUGGGGAACAGCACAGCCAGUGGGUCAUGGUGGGCUGGUUAAAAUCAGUCUCACAGCACUGUGGGCCCCCUUGAAGUCAGGGGCUACAUGGGAACAUCUUGAGGGCCACAAGUCCUCACCUCACACGCAGUCUAUACCUUUCCUUAUCUGUCUGACAUUCUGACCGUUUUCAUAGCUUAUUCUAAACUAUUCCCUGUGAAUGGGACUUGCUCUCCAUGUGCGUGUAUAGUCUUACUGAGGUUGCUUUAUGAAAAACACAGGACCCUUGAGAAGGUGACUAGAGUAAUUCCCUCUUCUUUUCUAACUGCAUAUGAUUCCUUCCCUUGCAUUUCCCAGUGCAUCUUGCCUGGAUGUAUCUGGCAGGCUUCAGAUUCUCUAGGGACUAUAUUGUUUAUAUUGAAUAUAUGCCUUGCACAGUUUAUAUUGAAUAUAUGCCUUGCACAGUCAUUGUUUAACAAAUACGGUCUUUCUCAUGACAGCUUCUUCCAUCUGAAGAUUUCUGUAGCCAGAAUUGUUGGUUGCUCUCCUUACUCAGGGUAUAUCCACUUCCUUUACCUUUCUCCAUUUCCAUCCGAUUGGGUGUUCAAAGCUUCGUUCGUGCGAGCAAGGCUUAUCUGUUGUUGCAUUACAUCACAGCAUAUUGUUGGGAGAGAGGUAUGAUUACUUGAUAACCGCCUAUUCCUUUAGCCUCUGGAACAUUUCCCUGGCUUGAGCAUGGGGUAACUGACAACCUGAACAGCAAUUCCUCUUUUCAAAUCACCCGUCUUUUAAACCAAGGUCUUAAUGUGAGCACUCUCCUGAACAUUACAACAAGAAGGAUAAAAAAUAAACGUGAGAAACGGAGACGUCAUCUUUUCCAACCCCACCAUAACAUCAAAAGGAGAGCUCUGGAUGCAGAAGCGGUUCACACAUAUCCACAUGAGGGAAAUACAUAAUCUCUGCCGUCUCACUUACAGUGUAAGCAGGAAAGGGGGAAGCCGAGGUUACCCGUGUUUCCUCUAUCUCUGCUUACAUUUUAAAGGGAUGGCCAAGUGCUUUUUUUAAAACAGUGACAUCAGAACAGCCUUCUUUGGCAUUCUAGACCAAAUUUCUGUUUUCAUCCUGGUCAGACCUUUCAUUGAGGCCUGUCUGGAGUUUGUGCCGGGUGAGGGGAGACACAGCAGAAGUAGAUCCCUUUGAUCCACACUCAUCUUAUGGGGAACAAAGACAGCAUUUAAGUUUCAGGGCUGCCUUUGCAUAAACCUAAGGCCUGCGGUGACCUGAACUCUGAAAUUGCCAUCCUCAUUGGAAGAUAGAUGGUUUUAAUUUGACAAGGGAGUUCUCUGCCAAGAAGCUUCUUAAAUAUGUUUCGUCCUCAUUUAAGUCCAUUGUGGGCUCCCCUUCCUUGGAUGUUUUUAAGCUGAGGUUGGAUGGCCAUUGGUCAUGGAUGCUUUAGUUGGGAUUCCUGCAUUGCAGGAGUCUAGACUUACUGUAUAAAAUGGGUUUAUGUAUGCAGAGAAAAAAGACAAGAUUGGGUUAAGUUAGGUGUGCCGGUUAAUUUUGGGUGUGUUUGUCCUGCAACUGCAACCAGUUAAGCUGUUUCAAAGGGUAAAUCUGGAAGCUGUAUGUUUGGCAGCUAGUAGUUACCACUCGAAAUAUCCUUUGCAUUGUGUCCUUCAUGUUGGUCCUGCAACAUAUAGUAUUUUCUUUCAUGUGACUAUAUAUAUUUGGAAAGCCCUUGUCAACUUCUGCUUUUAGAUUCCCAUGGUAUCCAGACAAACAUACUUUAGUUAACAUGAACUAUGGUUAGAGUCAACCAAACCAGUUGCAAACCUUGGUGUCAUGGUUAAUGAUAACCACAUUUCUGGAUCCAGACAAUAGUUUUUUUGUUGAUUGGUUUGUUUUGAUAGUCCUGGUCAUUGACUGGUUAUUUUUAGGCAGCAUUUAACAAGUACUAAGUAAUGGUGAAUGUGUUGUGCAAUAUCUAUGAUCAUAACAUCUUGUGUGACACAAGCCACUUGGCCAUUUCACAGUUUUACAUUCCACCCCCUCAAGAAUACACAUAAAAUAUUUUAAAUGAGCAUCUAAAAAAAUAUUCAGUAUGAAUGCAAGCACACGAAUCAUAACAUGAAUCAUCAGGGGGCAGUUUCCUGUUGAGUAUACUCAGUAAGAAAUUUUCUCUGUGAGAUGUAUAAAGUGUUCCUCAUUGUUCCAUUUUUUUUUCAUGGUCUGUGUAUGCACACACAUGUAUUAUAUUUCUUUCUUCGGUUUUGUUUCUGUCACUGUCCAGACAGAAUUACUUCCCUGAUUAUUGAAUGUAAUUGGAUUAAAUUUAGGACUGUUGAUUUCAUGGCUCUAUAGAGGGCACAUGUAUUCCAAAUGGGAUUAUUCACAAUUACAUACACUUAAACAUUUAAUUUUAUCCAUAUUUCCAAAUAUGUUUAUGUACUUGUUCAUGCAUGUCAUGCAAAAAAUAUAUAUGAAUAUUUGAAAUUUUGCAUUCUCAGUUGGAACAGUUGUUUGAAAAAUGUAGAGAGAGCACCACUUUUUUGCACGAAGUUCUGGCCAUAAAGCAUUUUCUUAUUUCUUACAGAUUACUGCAUAUUGCUUACAUUCAGACUGCUGUAAUUAACCCACAGUUGCUUAUUUAGUUAAUAAUUUUGUAUUCUGGUUAAAUUUGAUGGAUGCCAGCACAGGAAUGUGUUGGUGGUUAAAAGUAAGUGAUGAUCCAGCACUAGUCUAUCUGAGAUAAAUUGUGCCAUUUCUAAAACAGGAAUCCACAAUCCUAUGCUUAUUUAUUUAUUUAUCCUUUAGAUAUACUGGGAUGCAAAUAUAAACAUCCAUUAAGCUUAAAUUAGAUACCCCCUGUAAUUACCAAACAAUUCUGGCUGCUCUGUAGUUUUCAUUGCAAUUAACUGUUUGGGAAAUACAGUCUUCCUAAAUAAUAUAAUGGAACCAGCUACUGUGAGUUCGCCAGCUCAUUCAACACCUGAUAUACUUUCCUUACAGAAUAAAUGAUGCAAACUAUUUCUACUAAGAUAGCCUGAACCAUCCAUGUAAGAAUUGCAUGUAAAUUUAAUUUUUCUAAACCCCCGUGACUUGGAUAAGAGGAACAAAACUCGAAGUCCCUCCCUGCCCUAGAGCAAUUCUUUUUCAUGAUUUUAUAUGAAAUAUGGGUGCCCAAGAUUAUUACGUGUUAAUCUUUUAUGUGGGUUACAGAAUUAAAACGCAGUAUUGAAAAGAAUUUAAGACAGCUCGUGAUCAUAAAAAUAAGAUGCAUGCUACAAACAUGCAGCUCAAGUGUCAAAAGGCAGGGGAAAGAGGUGAGGAUAACCCUUAAACUUGCUAUUUGCCGCAUAGUUGUGUGGGGAUGAUCUUUCCUUUCAUUAGAAGAACAAAACCAGAUGGAACUAGGUGUGUGGAGGUGGAACUGUUCUUCAUAUCCUUCCAUUUCGAAACGGCAAAUGGAGGAAGCGUCCCUCUUUUCCUUGGAACAGUCAGUGUGGCCUCAUGCUUGCGCCAUGAUUCUGUAAUGUAUGAGACGUUGAUCUGUAGGGGUCAGCAGCACUGUGUUCCAGAACCCCUGUUUUUUGGACCAUGUCCCUUUCUGUUUACACACAUGCCCCAUUUCAAAGUACGAAAAUUGUGGAGAAGAUGGCUGUCAUCAUUACUGUAGCCUCUUCCAUUUUAAUUACGUUUACGGACUGAACUGCAAGCUCGGCAGCUCAAAGUAGGAGGCAGUCCAUGUUCUUGCAUGAUUAUGGUUUUCUAACAUUGGCCCUGGAAUUUAGUUGGAAGUGUGGCUGGGGAAAAAGUUCGGUACAUAAACUCACCAGCAUUAACAAGUCUAGUGUCUACAUUUUUAAACACACACACACACACACACGAGUGUAUCUGAAGAUCAUUAUUAAAAUUUAAAAAAAGCAGGGGAAGGGCAAUAAAUGUAGUAGUCAUUGUAUCACUGCAGUAUGUGUGUGUGACACAUGGUUUUUGUCUUUUCAUCUUCCACAAGAGCCAAAAGUUUCCUGCCGCUCUCUUUCCAGCUAUUGACAAAUGAUUGCCAGAUGUGAGGUUUUUUGCAGUGCUCUUUCCCCCCCUCAGCAAACCUGCAGCGAUGGGAUAUUUGAUUCUCCCUUGCCCAUUUCAUCUCCUUCCCACAUCUGCCAGGGACACACAAGCAAUACAUCCCUACAUGAGAGUUUAAAGUUUACUCAAGCUCCUUCUCUACUUCCUCGCUCCCCCAACCCACCCGGCUCUCUCCAUCAGAUAAAGCUUUUUUUCUGAGAGACAACUGAUUGAAGUCAAUAACGACUCUUUGCAAUUCUCCAACGGCCUUAGGAAUAUGUUGUUUUAAUUAUCUGCAUCAAGGUAACACUGUUAAGUUUUAUUUAUUUUUGAGAUGAUAGGUGGGGAAAGUAUGAUGUAACUUGGUUCCUGUGGCUGUCAGGCUUAUAGGAGCUCUUCAGGCUCUUGAGAACAUCGCAUAUCUUUUUUUGUGGGAUCUUCUGGUAAAGUCGCUGUAGGAACUGGCUAACUUCUAAAAGAGCACCUAUGAACACCCCCUACAGAAAAAAAACACACAUUAGACAUUUAAAUGAUGGGGAGGGUUAAUACUUCAACAGCUUAAAAAAAAAAGAGAGAGAGAGAGACAUUCCCCAGUUCCCUUGAUAAUUGUUCUAAGUGAUUUUAAAGAGAGAGAGAGCUGUUUCUGAAAUAGCUUAUAAUAACAGUAAGAAAUGGCCACAUAUAGAAGCAGCAGCAAAUAAAGACACUUUUAAGGGUGGCUGGUUUAUGCUGAUGAGUCCAUCCCUCCAAAUGUCCCCCUUUAAAAUAGUUUCUAUUAAAAAUCACAUUUUUCUCCCCGGCCUGUUCAAUAGGGUGACCUCUUUUUUUUUUUUUUUUAAUAAUAUUUAUUACUUUUCCAACAAUUUGAACACACAACAAAAUAAAAAGAAGAAAGAACAAUACAAUACAAUACAACACAAUACAAUACAAUACAAAAACACUACACAACACAUUAAACU